This 252-nucleotide ribosomal RNA is filed under the name uncultured bacterium. RNAcentral's name for it is "partial 16S ribosomal RNA". It matches the Rfam family "Bacterial small subunit ribosomal RNA", at positions 524 to 776 of the family's 1533-position model. The record is from RNAcentral.
UACGGAGGAUGCGAGCGUUAUCCGGAUUUAUUGAGUUUAAAGGGUGCGCAGGCGGCGUGUCAAGUCAGCGGUAAAAUGUCGGGGCUCAACCCCGGCCGGCCGUUGAAACUGGCGUGCUCGAGUUGGAGAGAAGUAUGCGGAAUUCGUGGUGUAGCGGUGAAAUGCAUAGAUAUCACGAAGAACCCCGAUUGCGAAGGCAGCAUACCGGCUCCACACUGACGCUGAGGCACGAAAGCGUGGGUAUCGAACAGG